UUGGAGGGCAAGUCUGGUGCCAGCAGCCACGGUAAUUCCAGCUCCAAUAGCGUAUAUUAAAGUUGUUGCAGUUAAAAAGCUCGUAGUUGAAUUUUGGGGUCAGCAGGUUGGUCGUGCCACUGGUAUGCACUGGUUUCGCUGAUUCCUCCUUUCUGAAGAACUGUAGUGUCAUUAAUUUGGUGUUGCAGGGAAACAGGACUGUUACUUUGAAAAAAUUAGAGUGUUUAAAGCAGGCUAACGCUUGAAUACAUUAGCAUGGAAUAAUGAAAUAGGACGUUUGAUCCUAUUUUGUUGGUUUCUAGGAUUGACGUAAUGAUUAAUAGGGAUAGUUGGGGGCAUUAGUAUUCAAUUGUCAGAGGUGAAAUUCUUGGAUUUAUUGAAGACUAACUACUGCGAAAGCACUUGCCAAGGAUGUUUUCAUUAAUCAAGAACGAAAGUUAGGGGAUCGAAGACGAUCAGAUACCGUCGUAGUCUUAACCAUAAACUAUGCCGACUAGGGAUCGGAUGAUGUUAAUUUUUUAAUGACUCAUUCGGCGCCUUACGGGAAAC
This 549-nucleotide ribosomal RNA is filed under the name uncultured Glomeromycotina. Its description in RNAcentral is "SSU rRNA". It matches the Rfam family "Eukaryotic small subunit ribosomal RNA", at positions 548 to 1098 of the family's 1831-position model. The record is from RNAcentral. Lineage: Eukaryota; Fungi; Glomeromycota.